This 468-nucleotide ribosomal RNA is filed under the name uncultured bacterium. RNAcentral's name for it is "partial 16S ribosomal RNA". It matches the Rfam family "Bacterial small subunit ribosomal RNA", at positions 28 to 507 of the family's 1533-position model. The record is from RNAcentral.
GACGAACGCUGGCGGCGUGCUUAACACAUGCAAGUCGAACGGAAAGGCCCUGCUUUUGUGGGGUGCUCGAGUGGCGAACGGGUGAGUAACACGUGAGUAACCUGCCCUUGACUUUGGGAUAACUUCAGGAAACUGGGGCUAAUACCGGAUAGGAGCUCCUGCUGCAUGGUGGGGGUUGGAAAGUUUCGGCGGUUGGGGAUGGACUCGCGGCUUAUCAGCUUGUUGGUGGGGGAGUGGCUUACCAAGGCUUUGACGGGUAGCCGGCCUGAGAGGGUGACCGGCCACAUUGGGACUGAGAUACGGCCCAGACUCCUACGGGAGGCAGCGGUGGGGAAUAUUGCACAAUGGGCGGAAGCCUGAUGCAGCAACGCCGCGUGCGGGAUGACGGCCUUCGGGUUGUAAACCGCUUUCGCCUGUGACGAAGCGUGAGUGACGGUAAUGGGUAAAGAAGCACCGGCUAACUACGUG